UUGUUAAUAUAAGUAUGUCCCAUGUAAUAUGGGAAGCAUGCCAUUCUUUGAAACAUAUUUAUAUUAAAA
Molecule: microRNA precursor, 69 nt
Filed under: Marmota monax (woodchuck)
Lineage: Eukaryota; Metazoa; Chordata; Mammalia; Rodentia; Sciuridae
Source: RNAcentral